CAGUGUGUAGCUAAAUAGAAUAGCAUUUCCCUUACACCGAGAAGUUCCCCGUGCAAGCCGGGACACUUUGA
This 71-nucleotide transfer RNA is filed under the name Pandaka pygmaea (dwarf pygmy goby). Its description in RNAcentral is "tRNA-Val". It matches the Rfam family "tRNA". Rfam says of the family: Transfer RNA (tRNA) molecules are approximately 80 nucleotides in length. Their secondary structure includes four short double-helical elements and three loops (D, anti-codon, and T loops). Further hydrogen bonds mediate the characteristic L-shaped molecular structure. tRNAs have two regions of fundamental functional importance: the anti-codon, which is responsible for specific mRNA codon recognition, and the 3' end, to which the tRNAs corresponding amino acid is attached (by aminoacyl-tRNA synthetases). tRNAs cope with the degeneracy of the genetic code in two manners: having more than one tRNA (with a specific anti-codon) for a particular amino acid; and 'wobble' base-pairing, i.e. permitting non-standard base-pairing at the 3rd anti-codon position. Lineage: Eukaryota; Metazoa; Chordata; Actinopteri; Gobiiformes; Gobiidae. The record is from RNAcentral.